CCUUAUUCUAAUACCAAGAGCAGACAUUUGUACCUACUCUUGCAGUGUAGCAGAGCUAAAAAAAACUCUCCAGGAGUUGAGAGAUGGGAACAGUUUGAUUUUUUUUUUUACACUAAACACUAUCUGCAUACAUGUAGAACUAACAUAUCCCAAGGCUAUGUUGCUUUCCCUAUGUCUGACAAGGUUAACACAUCACCACUUUGAGGAUAUAUAGGGACUUAUCUGUAACCUGUCUUCAAGCUUCACUGGGCCAAAUAACCACACGACAGUUUGCUUACCAGUGGUUCCAAUCCCAACAGACUGUGUGUACACCUUCUAUGGUAUGUAAUAAUGUUCUGGCUAUGCUUGAUCCAAGAAGAGAAACACAAGUA
This 371-nucleotide long non-coding RNA is filed under the name Chrysemys picta bellii (western painted turtle). RNAcentral's name for it is "lncRNA (ENSCPBG00000017131.1)". The record is from RNAcentral. Lineage: Eukaryota; Metazoa; Chordata; Testudines; Emydidae.